RNAcentral lists this long non-coding RNA (232 nucleotides) under Phoenix dactylifera (date palm). Its description in RNAcentral is "long non-coding RNA (PDAC_LNC022510)". The record is from RNAcentral. Lineage: Eukaryota; Viridiplantae; Streptophyta; Magnoliopsida; Arecales; Arecaceae.
GAUUUAACCUCGUUUGUAUAGAAGGCUCAAAAUAAUGCGAACAGAAAGUUGAUAUUUCUUCUAUGAUGUAAGCCUCAACAAUAGAACCUUCAAUCGAUGCUCGAUUCUUUACCUUCUGCUUUAUAUCAUGCAUAAGCCUAUAAAUAAGAUUAAUAUGUUAAUUUCUCAAAUUUAAUGGAUACAAAGAAACUAUUUAAUGGAUUUACAGAAAUUGUUACCUUUCAAAGGGGUA